UGCUGGGAGCCAUUAGCCAAGUAGGUAUGACAAUUUCCUUGCCAGCGUACCCCAUGUUGCUUAGUGGAAGGACUCGUGGAAAUAGGACAUUUUGCAGUGACAUUGCAGUUAGGUGACCUUGCUCAAGGACCAGGGCGGAUCCGGGAUUAGGGUGUUCCCGGUUUAGGAUAAUCGGGUUUAGGGCGUUCCAGGUUUAAGAUUAUUCCUGCUGGGAAUAGGGCGUAUCCUGCUGCCUGAGUUCCCCUUGAGUUCUCACGGGAUUCAGACAGUAUUUUUUUGGGAGAUAGAAGCCCAGUGGAGAGGGAUUUGGGCAGAGAACGUGGAUUUCCCCAGAACGUGAUUGUAGACGGCUGGUGUGAGUUCGGGAAUAAAGAGUUGCUGUUUGAAUCUACAAGCUGUGUGGUGGCUCGUGAUUGUGUGCCCAGCCAGACUGCGGCAUUUGUGCCCAGCCAGACUGCGGCAAUUAUGCCCACCUUGCUCUGCUCUACUAGUAAUUCUCCAUAUCUCCUCACUUCAUCAACUCCUAACUCAGGUCCUGAUCCCCAGCCCUCUUCAUUUACUGCCCCCCAAAUAGCAGAUGAACCUCCACCAAAAGUAAGAAAAAAGGGGAAAAAAAUCCAAACCACUUACAGCUUGGCUGGCUAUUUUAUCUGCUUUCAUUCUACCAGCUUGCUUUCUUAACAAGUUCUUUCCUAAUGGUACAGAACAAGAAGAAAAAUGGAAUGAUUUCAUAUAUACAAAUUUUCUUUUCCUUGAGAAUCUUUAGUAUAAAGUUUUCAGUGCUCUCUCAUUCUUUCAGUAUCUGAACUGACUCUAAUCUAAGCUAGAAGUAAACUCUGAUAAAGAUGUUCUACAUGCUCUCUUACUCCUGUACUAUAGCUGUGUAUUUAGAAAUCAUGUUUUGUAAAAAUCCUAUAUUUUUGAGCUCAUAAUUUUAUGGUAAAUUCAUAUUUGAUCUUGUGCACCUAAAUUAAGGUAUUUUUCUCAUCCGUUUUAUUUUAUCUAACUAUAGAAGUUUUAUACUUUGUUUUUGUUCAGAGACCAAUUUUUCAAGGGUUGACUCUCAAUGACAUUGAAAAAUCUCCUUUUACUAAAUCCUAAAAGGGACAUAAAUAUAUUGAUGUUGGGCCUAAGGCUUAUUUUGAAGGCAAAUAGCCAGAUAUCUGAAUCUUUGAUUUCAAUGUCCCACAUGGCUAUUAGAUUUUAUACCUGGAAUUUCCAACUGUAUAGGCCUGCUACAUAUUUAAAUCAUAAUGUAAAAGUCUGAUAGCCUUGAUUUUUAUUUCUAACAGAUCAAAUCUAAUAGAGGUUUUAAUAAACACCUGUAACAUUGACUCCUACCUGUGGAGCUCCCCUUACAAAAAAGAUAGAAAAUCUUUGUUUCUUGUUUAUUUUGUGUAUCUGUCUAUGUAUGUAUACAAUAUUGUUGUGUCUACAUAUGUGUUUGUGUUCCUCUAUCAUGUACAUGGUAUCAACAUUGGCAUAUAGAUAAAUGAGCAAUCAAAAAUUUAAAUUUAAAUAAAAAAUGGAUCCAAAUAUCUUUUAGUGUAUGUGAUUUAAAAAGGAAGUUCAAUUUAAAUUAGGCAAACAGAUGAGAGUAAAGAUGUCUUUAAAAUUACUAAUGCACAUGUUUUUCUAGGUGGUCAGACAAUUAACAGAGUAUUAGUUUCCUUAAAAUAUCUAAAAUGUAAUAUGGAUUGUUUCUAGGAUUUCUCUUCAACAAGGAAGAGAUAGCUACUACUGUUAACUGUACUUGGCUGAUAUCUUGAUUUUUACCAUUAAAAUGAAUAAAUUAGAUUUAAC
Molecule: long non-coding RNA, 1803 nt
Filed under: Marmota monax (woodchuck)
Lineage: Eukaryota; Metazoa; Chordata; Mammalia; Rodentia; Sciuridae
Source: RNAcentral